This is a long non-coding RNA of Pan troglodytes (chimpanzee), 2614 nucleotides long. RefSeq lists it as uncharacterized. The record is from RefSeq and is a predicted model, not a curated record. Lineage: Eukaryota; Metazoa; Chordata; Mammalia; Primates; Hominidae. The transcript has 2 exons.
GUUACUAAGCUACUGCCACUGAGGAUGACGUGGUAACCCAGUAGCCCAAAAGACACAGUCCUUCUCAACAAAGCCUAACCAACAGGCAAUGGAUUACAGUGAUUCAGAGGAAAGAUAAGAAGGUUCCUUUGUCUUGGACCUCCACUAGACAUCAAGGAAACAUGCCAAAAAAGUAAACAACAAAGGCCCCCACACCUUUCCAAACUACAACCCAAAAUAAGUUGAUCUGAGAAACAAAUUGCAAUGCCGCAUGCAAAGCAGAUGUGUCCAAAUUCAUGUAGGACCAGACACAUCCUGAACCUUUCAGUGCAACAGCUGUUCAAGACUUUCUUCAAAAUCAUCCAAGCACAAGGGUUGAUAAAAUACACACAAAAUGGGUAUUUGACACCCUGGAUUCCAUGCAGGUUUGGCAGUAACCAGGGAGAAUUAGAACCCGAAGCUAGAUUUCAAAAUAGAGCUCUGGACUGAAGCAUUCUUGCACAACCAUCCCACAGACGGCUUCCGGUCUUGCUCCAACUCCAGUCCUCUGUGGGGCCUCUUCUCAGCUCUCCUGCUUUUUCCCAAACCCUCAGUAACCUCCCUCCUUAGUAGAAGGCUAUGACUUCUCUUUCCCAAACCAAUUACUUUUCCUCAAUGAACUUCUUUUCUUGAUGGAUUUAGGUUAUAACUGCUGGCUGUGGAGGCUUUCUGCUUUGGAACCAUAGAAUCACAGCUCUCACAGUUGGAAGGGAGACCAUUCACCCCAAUCCUUCAGUUACAGGGAGGAAGCUGAAGUCCCGGGAGGUGAAAUGGCUUCGGCAAGGUCACCCAGCUAUUGAGUGUCUGACAAGAGAGUGAUUCCUGUCCAUCCUCUCCUCCUGGUCAAACCCCCUCCCCUGGGGAAGCAGGGAAACACUCCCUCGGAGCUCUGGUGUUCUGACACUACAUGCCCACAAAGGCUGCUGCCACACCCACAAGGCUCCAUUUACUCAUCCUUCCCCAGGUGACAACCUACUAUGUGAACAGCACUCAACCUGGUAUUGAUGGGUGGGUCGAAAGGCACAGCAUAGGCAUGAUGUUGAUUUGCAGGGAUGACCAGAGCAACCAGGGACAAACUGAUACAGGGAUCAAAAUGAUGUCUUUAAGGGAUAGCUGCCUUGAAGGAAUUCAAAGCUGGUUCCUUCAUUUAGCGAGUAUUCCUGAGUGCUGAACACAUGUCAGGUGGCAUUCCAAGUGCCAGGGUAAAGCAAUGACAAUGAUGGGCAUGAGUUCCUGGAACCUACAGUCCAGUGAGAAAGACAGAUACUGAACAAGAAAGCUGGGCAAAAGGAAGAAGUGCAGGCUGCUACAGGAGCAAGGCUUCAUGGAGGAGGCGAGAGAAGCUGUCAGCGUAGGGGAGAGAUCAGAUGGUCAAUCAAUGCCCACACCUGCUGCAGAAGCCCAGCUGUGAGCCACAGUCAGGUGACAGGACGUUUACAGGGAGGUAUCCUGGUUUCCUUAGUCCCUAGGUUGCCAAUGGAAGCCACUUCUCAAUGCCAUUCCCAAGCAACCAGGAAGACAGGUGCAUACCUCAGCCCAGGCCUGCCAGGGGAAUGGCAUGUCUGGAGAGCUGACCUUUGACUCACCCUCCCAGUCAGCACUCAGGAAUGUGCUGGGGUUACCACCAGUGUCUUGCACCUGGUGGGUGGGCAGGCAUGUGGCCAACAUCCCCAGAACAGCUGGGAGGGGAUAGGAGGGUUUCAGGAAUGGCAGAGGCAGCAUCUUAAAGCUGCCUUUGGGAAGAUGAAGGCCGACAAAACUUGCCCCUCCCACAAGGAGAUAGUGUUAAGUCCCCUUUUUCGAGUAGCCACGGUGUGUAACUAUUCAUGUUUUCCACGUAUUGUAAAGGACCUGGUUCUUUUGUCUCUGCCUGCUGGCAUCUUCCUGCCAAUCAAUGACACCCUUAUGACAACCAGACCCCAAUCAGGGCUAAAUCCCCACCAUGCAGCUCAGCACUGGGUUCUGCUACCUGGUUCCUGUUGGCAAGGGACAGAGGCUCUUUGAUGACUCCUGGGUUCAGGGUAUAUGCCAUGUGCUGCUCCCCAGGUUGCCAUCUGACCCUAGCUUGGGCCCUCCAGCUGUGUGGAUUUAAUGUCCAAUAGCAGAGCCUGCAACUCCUGUGUCUUCACAGCUGAUGCUCAAACCAACCAAAACACCAGGCUCUUUGCUGAAACCUCUGAGAAGGGUUCCUGGCUCCAGGUCAGCCUCAAUGGAAUAAAGGAAGAUCACCUACCACUUCAAACUGAAGAGCUGAAGGAGUUGUAUCAAGAUACAGAGUGCAGCAAGUAUAGGAAACAUUAGAGAAACUGACCUGUCUGGAGAUGGCAAGCUGCAGAGCCAGGUAGAAAGCUGCUUGGUGAUCUGUGGGUGACAGGCUGUGGGCCCUGAAAAAGUAUUUACGGCUAUUAGUACAUGGGAGAGGAGGCCAUUUUUACUUUCCCUAUCAAGCAAGUCUUCUCCACAUUUGCAUUCUUAUACUAAGGGCCCGUAUUUAUUUAACUAUGUAAUGCUUCAUUUAAACUCUUCUUCUUUGCCCACCUACACAUGUAAACCAUUUCCCUCUUACCACUGUAUAAAGGUACAGAAUAGGAGUGCA